Oncorhynchus tshawytscha (Chinook salmon) is the source of this 340-nucleotide long non-coding RNA. The record is from Ensembl. NCBI's taxonomy places the organism in Eukaryota, Metazoa, Chordata, Actinopteri, Salmoniformes, Salmonidae.
UCAGAGAGACUCUAGGUUGGUCUGAGAGAGGUGUUAGUGGUCUGACUGUGAAGGCUCUGAGAGAGGUGUUAGUAGGCUGACUGUGAAGGCUCAGAGAGAGGUGUUAGUGGGCUGACUGUGAAGGCUCAGAGAGAGGUGUUAGUGGGCUGACUGUGAAGGCUCAGAGAGAGGUGUUAGUGGGCUGACUGUGAAGGCUCUGAGAUACUCUGGGUUGGUCUGAGAGAGGUGUUAGUGGGCUGACUGUGAAGGCUCUGAGAGACUCUGGGUUGGUCUGAGAGAGGUGUUAGUGGGCUGACUGUGAAGGCUCUGAGAUACUCUGGGUUGGUCUGAGAGAGGUGUU